GACUAGAAAAUCUGCCACCACGUCCGUUGCCUUCCCAGAGUACCCCUUGCCGUAGCAUGGCACAAAUAAAUCACCAAGCCCUUCAUCUCUACAAACGAGUUUCAGCUGGGAAAAUGUAGCAUUAUCCACUAGCAACAAAAGAUAAUAUACAGGGUGUUCCUCCCAUUCAAUCAUUAUAACAUCCCACUCCUUUCUCCAGAAAUUAAUAUCAUGGCAAUCUAUUUUAUGGUCAGGCCUUUUCCAAUAUACUGAUAUAAUGCAGUUAACACCCAGAAAAACAGAGCUAAGGCACCA
Molecule: long non-coding RNA, 294 nt
Filed under: Elaeis guineensis (African oil palm)
Lineage: Eukaryota; Viridiplantae; Streptophyta; Magnoliopsida; Arecales; Arecaceae
Description: long non-coding RNA (EGUI_LNC000820)
Source: RNAcentral